RNAcentral lists this ribosomal RNA (253 nucleotides) under uncultured archaeon. Its description in RNAcentral is "partial 16S ribosomal RNA". It matches the Rfam family "Archaeal small subunit ribosomal RNA", at positions 474 to 727 of the family's 1478-position model. The record is from RNAcentral.
UACCUGCAGCCCAAGUGGUGACUGUUAUUAUUGGGCCUAAAACGUCCGUAGCCGGUUCUGUAAAUGCCUGGGUAAAUCGUACGGCUUAACCGUACGAAUUCCGGGUAGACUGCAGGGCUUGAGAUCGGGAGAGGCUAGAGGUACUCCUGGGGUAGAGGUGAAAUUCUGUAAUCCUAGGGGGACCACCAGUGGCGAAGGCGUCUAGCUAGAACGAGUCUGACGGUCAGGGACGAAGCCCUGGGGCGCAAACGGG